This 253-nucleotide ribosomal RNA is filed under the name uncultured bacterium. Its description in RNAcentral is "partial 16S ribosomal RNA". It matches the Rfam family "Bacterial small subunit ribosomal RNA", at positions 524 to 776 of the family's 1533-position model. The record is from RNAcentral.
UACGUAUGGAGCAAGCGUUAUCCGGAUUUACUGGGCGUAAAGGGUGCGUAGGCGGAUUGAUAAGUUAGAGGUGAAAUGUCCGAGCUCAACUCGGGAACUGCCUCUAAUACUGUUGAUCUAGAGAGUAGAUGCGGUAGGCGGAAUGUAUGGUGUAGCGGUGAAAUGCAUAGAUAUCACGCAGAACUCCGAUUGCGAAGGCAGCCUGCUGGACUGUAACUGACGCUGAUGCUCGAAAGUGUGGGUAUCAAACAGG